Molecule: long non-coding RNA, 1448 nt
Organism: Marmota monax (woodchuck)
Lineage: Eukaryota; Metazoa; Chordata; Mammalia; Rodentia; Sciuridae
Exons: 2
Source: RefSeq, a predicted model, not a curated record
GUCACUGCUCAAACUAAAGCCCAGGCCUUGACUGCAGUUCCAGCUCCAGCUUCAGUCCUGGGUCAAGCUCAGGUUUUCAAAGGUCCCUGGGCUCCCAUGAAAGCACUUCUUAUGUCUCUGUCAAAGUGAGGACAGAAGAUUUGACCUGUCUCCUGUGCUGCUUUCUGCCUGAGGCUGGUGUUCUCCUAUGCUGUUUGUACAAAUACAUCUGAGGCAGGAAACGAACAAAUAAAAAGGCAACGCCUUUUGCUGCCCCAAAUAAGUAAAUCAUUAAAAUAUCUAUGAAUUUGACAAAAUUGACAUAAGAAAGCAAUUUUUAUUAAUAUGACAUUUAUACUGUAGUAGAGGAGCAUUAUAUCAAAGUAGAGGAAUGUUUUGCAAUGUCUAGAUAUAGUGUUUGAAAAAAAGAACGACAGAAUCUUAGAUAUGAGAUUGGAAAUUAAAUUAUUGCUAAAAUAAUUUUCCAGAUGCUGGUGGAGAUUAAGUGUCUAUCAUGCUAACCGAAGUACACACUGGGCACAAAUGACAAAUCCAAUAGCUUCUGUGAGAUGCAAAUGGAUACACAAGUUUUGGGAAGACUGUGCAAUGAAAUACUACUCAACAAUAAAAAAAAAAUAGAGUGAACAACUAAAAUGUACAACAACAUAAAGGAAAGUAAAUAAUGCUGAAAUAAAAAAAAAAGUUAUACAUGUGUGGUCAGUGCCUUAGGGAAUGGAGAUACAGAGAGAGAUUGUCUAUGGAUAAGUUUAUUAUUUUGAUUUGUAUGGAUUUGUAAAUCUAUAUACUUUGAAAAUAAUGUAGUUCAUUUUAUGUUGAUUUAACCAAAUCAUGGUGUUAAAAAUUAAAAUUAAAAAAGAUGUAAUCAGCUGGAUAUGUUGGUGCAUGCCUGUAAUCCCAGUAGCUCAGGAGGCUUAAAGAAGAGAAUCAUGAGUUCAAAGCCAACCACUACAAUGGGCAAGGUGAUAAGCAACUCAGUGAGAUCGUGUAUCUAAAUUCAAAUACACAAUAGGGCUGGGGAUGUGGCUCAGUGGUUGACUGCCCCUGAGUUAAAUCCCUGAUUACAAAAAAAAAAAAAAAAAUCAUAUAAUCAUAUACUUUAAACACAGUUUUCUCAAAAAGUAGGAAAGAGCACCAUAGUCUCAAUUCAUUUUAUAAGACCAUAGUUAUCCUGGUAUCAAAACCAAAGACAUUGCUAGAUAAUGUAAACUAUAGACCAAUAUUCUUCAUUAACAUGUAUACAAAAGUCCUCAAUGAAAUAUGUAUUAAUAAAAUCUAGUGACACAUAAAUAGACAAAUAUAUCAUGACCAAGUGUUUAUGCCAAGAAUACAAGACUAGGUUAUCAUUCAAAAAUCAAUCAAUUAAUUUAUGAAAUUAAAUUCUAAAUAAGAAAAACCUACAUGAUUAUCUUAAUCCAGAAAAAUCAUUUGACCAAAUCUGGCACCUGUUU